GAACGCUGGCGGCGUGCCUAAUACAUGCAAGUCGAACGAACUCUGGUAUUGAUUGGUGCUUGCAUCAUGAUUUACAUUUGAGUGAGUGGCGAACUGGUGAGUAACACGUGGGAAACCUGCCCAGAAGCGGGGGAUAACACCUGGAAACAGAUGCUAAUACCGCAUAACAACUUGGACCGCAUGGUCCGAGCUUGAAAGAUGGCUUCGGCUAUCACUUUUGGAUGGUCCCGCGGCGUAUUAGCUAGAUGGUGGGGUAACGGCUCACCAUGGCAAUGAUACGUAGCCGACCUGAGAGGGUAAUCGGCCACAUUGGGACUGAGACACGGCCCAAACUCCUACGGGAGGCAGCAGUAGGGAAUCUUCCACAAUGGACGAAAGUCUGAUGGAGCAACGCCGCGUGAGUGAAGAAGGGUUUCGGCUCGUAAAACUCUGUUGUUAAAGAAGAACAUAUCUGAGAGUAACUGUUCAGGUAUUGACGGUAUUUAACCAGAAAGCCACGGCUAACUACGUGCCAGCAGCCGCGGUAAUACGUAGGUGGCAAGCGUUGUCCGGAUUUAUUGGGCGUAAAGCGAGCGCAGGCGGUUUUUUAAGUCUGAUGUGAAAGCCUUCGGCUCAACCGAAGAAGUGCAUCGGAAACUGGGAAACUUGAGUGCAGAAGAGGACAGUGGAACUCCAUGUGUAGCGGUGAAAUGCGUAGAUAUAUGGAAGAACACCAGUGGCGAAGGCGGCUGUCUGGUCUGUAACUGACGCUGAGGCUCGAAAGUAUGGGUAGCAAACAGGAUUAGAUACCCUGGUAGUCCAUACCGUAAACGAUGAAUGCUAAGUGUUGGAGGGUUUCCGCCCUUCAGUGCUGCAGCUAACGCAUUAAGCAUUCCGCCUGGGGAGUACGGCCGCAAGGCUGAAACUCAAAGGAAUUGACGGGGGCCCGCACAAGCGGUGGAGCAUGUGGUUUAAUUCGAAGCUACGCGAAGAACCUUACCAGGUCUUGACAUACUAUGCAAAUCUAAGAGAUUAGACGUUCCCUUCGGGGACAUGGAUACAGGUGGUGCAUGGUUGUCGUCAGCUCGUGUCGUGAGAUGUUGGGUUAAGUCCCGCAACGAGCGCAACCCUUAUUAUCAGUUGCCAGCAUUAAGUUGGGCACUCUGGUGAGACUGCCGGUGACAAACCGGAGGAAGGUGGGGAUGACGUCAAAUCAUCAUGCCCCUUAUGACCUGGGCUACACACGUGCUACAAUGGAUGGUACAACGAGUUGCGAACUCGCGAGAGUAAGCUAAUCUCUUAAAGCCAUUCUCAGUUCGGAUUGUAGGCUGCAACUCGCCUACAUGAAGUCUGAAUCGCUAGUAAUCGCGGAUCAGCAGCCGC
This 1362-nucleotide ribosomal RNA is filed under the name Lactiplantibacillus plantarum. RNAcentral's name for it is "bacterial SSU rRNA". It matches the Rfam family "Bacterial small subunit ribosomal RNA", at positions 31 to 1360 of the family's 1533-position model. Lineage: Bacteria; Bacillati; Bacillota; Bacilli; Lactobacillales; Lactobacillaceae. The record is from RNAcentral.